GGGAAAUUGAGCGACAUUCAUGCAUCAUUUGAAUUUCCUCAUCCAAUCAAGUUUACAAGAGCAGCAGAAGACUAAAGCCAACAUAAAUACAUAACUUUCAUUUCCAGCUGGUUAGUUAAUUUGGCCUUUUCAUUUCCAGCCGAUAUACAUAAUCUUCACAGCCCUCCUCCAGGAUUGAGUCAGGUCCUUUAUGACAUUACUACUGGGAUAGUUUUCCCUCCUUUGUCUUCCCUGGUUUGGGGUUCCAACCCUUUUGUAAUAAUGAUAAUAAUAAAACCUCAAUGUAAGAGGCUUAAAUAUCUAUAAGCAUCA
Molecule: unclassified non-coding RNA, 312 nt
Filed under: Hevea brasiliensis (rubber tree)
Lineage: Eukaryota; Viridiplantae; Streptophyta; Magnoliopsida; Malpighiales; Euphorbiaceae
Source: RNAcentral